UAGGGAAUCUUCCACAAUGGACGCAAGUCUGAUGGAGCAACGCGCGUGAGUGAAGAAGUCUUCGGAUCGUAAAGCUCUGUUGUUGGUGAAGAAGGAUAGAGGCAGUAACUGGUCUUUAUUUGACGGUAAUCAACCAGAAAGUCACGGCUAACUACGUGCCAGCAGCCGCGGUAAUACGUAGGUGGCAAGCGUUGUCCGGAUUUAUUGGGCGUAAAGCGAGCGCAGGCGGAAUGAUAAGUCUGAUGUGAAAGCCCACGGCUCAACCGUGGAACUGCAUCGGAAACUGUCAUUCUUGAGUGCAGAAGAGGAGAGUGGAACUCCAUGUGUAGCGGUGGAAUGCGUAGAUAUAUGGAAGAACACCAGUGGCGAAGGCGGCUCUCUGGUCUGCAACUGACGCUGAGGCUCGAAAGCAUGGGUAGCGAACAGGAUUAGAUACC
RNAcentral lists this ribosomal RNA (437 nucleotides) under uncultured bacterium. RNAcentral describes it as "partial 16S ribosomal RNA". It matches the Rfam family "Bacterial small subunit ribosomal RNA", at positions 355 to 786 of the family's 1533-position model. The record is from RNAcentral.